AUUGAACGCUGGCGGCAUGCCUUACACAUGCAGGUCGAACGGCAGCACGGGAGCAAUCCUGGUGGCGAGUGGCGAACGGGUGAGUAAUAUAUCGGAACGUGCCCAGUCGUGGGGGAUAACGUAGCGAAAGCUACGCUAAUACCGCAUACGAUCUAUGGAUGAAAGCGGGGGAUCGCAAGACCUCGCGCGAUUGGAGCGGCCGAUAUCAGAUUAGCUAGUUGGUGGGGUAAGGGCCCACCAAGGCGACGAUCUGUAGCUGGUCUGAGAGGACGACCAGCCACACUGGGACUGAGACACGGCCCAGACGCCUACGGGAGGCAGCAGUGGGGAAUUUUGGACAAUGGGCGCAAGCCUGAUCCAGCAAUGCCGCGUGCAGGACGAAGGCCUUCGGGUUGUAAACUGCUUUUGUACGGAACGAAACGGCCCCUUCUAAUACAGGGGGCUAAUGACGGUACCGUAAGAAUAAGCACCGGCUAACUACGUGCCAGCCGCCGCCGUAA
This 500-nucleotide ribosomal RNA is filed under the name uncultured bacterium. RNAcentral's name for it is "partial 16S ribosomal RNA". It matches the Rfam family "Bacterial small subunit ribosomal RNA", at positions 29 to 523 of the family's 1533-position model. The record is from RNAcentral.